This 253-nucleotide ribosomal RNA is filed under the name uncultured bacterium. RNAcentral's name for it is "partial 16S ribosomal RNA". It matches the Rfam family "Bacterial small subunit ribosomal RNA", at positions 524 to 776 of the family's 1533-position model. The record is from RNAcentral.
UACGUAGGGUGCAAGCGUUGUCCGGAAUUAUUGGGCGUAAAGAGCUCGUAGGCGGUUCGUCGUGUCGGCUGUGAAAUCCCGAGGCUCAACCUCGGGUCUGCAGUCGAUACGGGCGGACUGGAGUUCGGCAGGGGAGACUGGAAUUCCUGGUGUAGCGGUGAAAUGCGCAGAUAUCAGGAGGAACACCGGUGGCGAAGGCGGGUCUCUGGGCCGAUACUGACGCUGAGGAGCGAAAGCGUGGGGAGCGAACAGG